This 107-nucleotide small RNA is filed under the name Escherichia coli. RNAcentral describes it as "partial RtT sRNA". It matches the Rfam family "RtT RNA", at positions 26 to 130 of the family's 130-position model. Rfam says of the family: This family represents a bacterial cis-regulatory element known as RtT RNA. The exact function of RtT is unknown although it is thought that it may be involved in changing the cellular response in relation to amino acid starvation. Lineage: Bacteria; Pseudomonadati; Pseudomonadota; Gammaproteobacteria; Enterobacterales; Enterobacteriaceae. The record is from RNAcentral. RNAcentral also lists the same sequence under 1 other name.
GAAGCUUCGACUAAGGUUCGGCUCGAGCGUCAGCGAGAGAGCGUUGCCGCAGGCAACGACCCGAAGGGCGAAGCGCGCAGCGCUGAGUAAUCCUUCCCCCACCACCA